RNAcentral lists this unclassified non-coding RNA (1796 nucleotides) under Hevea brasiliensis (rubber tree). The record is from RNAcentral. Lineage: Eukaryota; Viridiplantae; Streptophyta; Magnoliopsida; Malpighiales; Euphorbiaceae.
CCCUGGUUGGCACGCCUAACAGUGAGAGUUUUGUCACCCAUUUUAAUUCCAUUCAAAGCAGCACAAGCUAUGUCUGUAACUGCAAUAUCUUGGUACACACAGAAUGCAUAGCCCUUCGAAUUCCCAGUUUCUCUAUCUUUUACUAGAUCAAAACCUUGAAGGGGACCAAAGGACUCCAACAACUCUCUGACUUGAGCUUCAGUAAAAUAAUAGGGAAGUCCACCCACAAAGAUGCGGUCCGGACCCUCAAGCCCACCAGCAGAGUUUGGACUUAAGCCAACUGCAGCCAGGUUAAGAUUGGGAUUAGGCUGGCUUGGACCAAGUGUUGCAGCAAGGGAUGGGUUAUAAUCACUAGGUCUUCUCACCUUGACAGGAGCUCCCUCAAAAAUGAUCCCAUCUAAAGCCAUUGCAUUACUAGCCUCCUCAACAGAUCUCAUCUCCACAAAUGCAAACUUCUUUUCAUGGUUUAUAUAGACAUUUACAACGGCAUCCCCUUUAGAAAACAAACAUGAAAAAGAUUUGGCGACAAGGAAACAAAGCAGGUGGGUCUAGUUAUCAAGGAAAGAGGACAAAUGCUGGAUACCUGGGCCAGCAGAGUUUCCUCCAAUUGCAGCCAUAACCUGGCUAAAAAAGGUUGCUACAGACUGCAGAAAAAAAAUAGUGUCAGUAUGCCAACUAGAUAUAUCCAUUGUCCAACAGAAAAAUGAGGGCAAAACCUGUUCAUUCGCUGUAGGGAGGAGGCCUCCAACAUAGACCCGCCGAGCAUGCCUAGUAGCCUGCUGUGUCAUUGCCUGAAUUGGCAUAAUAGGGAGAGAGCCAAACUGCUGCAGGUGAACAAAUGACACAAAAUUAAUAAAUCAAAGGAUCCAGAUACUAGUUUAUGUGCAUCAAGAUGAGUCAUACUUGACUGGCUCCCAUAGGAAACAUAUUGGGAAAUAUUCCAGGAAUGGCAGGAUGUGUCCCAGGAUUCUGACCUGCAGUAGCAGCAGCAGCAGCAGCUGGGCUGAUCAACAUUGCAGAUGGGGAAGGAGCCAUAUCAAAGCCACUAACCCUUUUACUCCUAGAACGUGAGCGGGAGUGUGAUUUUGAUCUGUUCUCAGAUCUACCCCUUGAAGGAGAUUGUGAUCGAUUCCUGUGUCUGUCUUCCCUGUCUCUAUCAUAAUCUAUGUGUCUGUCACUGACAUAGUUUCGGCUUCGAUAACGAUCAUUGUUAACCCUAUCUCUGCCCUGUUCCCUCUUCUCACCACGAUCUCUGUGGCGAUCACGACGCCCAUAGUGACUUUCACUAUCCUUGUCUCUUUCUCUUUCCCUUUCCCUGUCCCUGCUUCUCUUCUUAUCCUUGUCCCUCUCAUGAUUCCUAUCCUCAUCCCUUUCAAGAUUUCGAUCCCUCUCCCUAUCAAGCCUCCUUUCUCUUUCUUUUUCCCUACUUUUUGAAGACUCUCUUUCAUAGUCUCGAGAACCAUGCUGAGAUUUGGAAUCGCUGUGAUCGUCUGCGCCGCCAUGGCUGUGACUGCUAGCGCGAGGCUGAGGAGAGAAGCCACCACCGCCAGAACCGUAGUUAUCGUUGUCGAAGUCGGCACCAUUGCCAUCAUACCUUCCUCCUUCGUAAUCGGUCAUCUUGAAAAUUGAAUGAUUGAUUAAUUCUUAGGCAAAAGUUUUGGAGCUGUUUCUUACUUUCGGGUUGGGUUCUCUGUUUAGCUGCGAAGCUUGAGACUGCGAAUGGAGAAUCAAGAACCCGAUGAUUUUGAGAAUUCUAGGGCACAGAAGCUCGAAUUGGAUUGCCUUUUAUUGGCGAG